UACGUAGGUGGCAAGCGUUGUCCGGAUUUACUGGGCGUAAAGCGCGCGCAGGCGGACUGAUCAGUCUGGGGUGAAAUCUCCCGGCUCAACUGGGAGCGGUCCCUGGAUACUGUCAGUCUUGAGAGACCUAGAGGAGAGCGGAAUUCCCGGUGUAGUGGUGGAAUGCGUAGAGAUCCGGAGGAACACCAAAGGCGAAGGCAGUGUCCUGGGGAGUACCUGACGCUCAGGUGCGAAAGCCAGGGGAGCGAACGGG
RNAcentral lists this ribosomal RNA (253 nucleotides) under uncultured bacterium. RNAcentral describes it as "partial 16S ribosomal RNA". It matches the Rfam family "Bacterial small subunit ribosomal RNA", at positions 524 to 776 of the family's 1533-position model. The record is from RNAcentral.